Molecule: microRNA precursor, 93 nt
Filed under: Erinaceus europaeus (western European hedgehog)
Lineage: Eukaryota; Metazoa; Chordata; Mammalia; Eulipotyphla; Erinaceidae
Description: miRNA (ENSEEUG00000021745.1)
Source: RNAcentral
GGCUGGGCUGGGCUGGGCUGGGCUGGGAGGCAGCGAGCGCAGGAGCCUCACGCUUGCUCCAGACCAUGAGACCCCCUGACCCCCGGCAACCGC